This is a non-coding RNA of Pelobates cultripes (western spadefoot toad), 203 nucleotides long. The record is from the annotation of a GenBank genome assembly. NCBI's taxonomy places the organism in Eukaryota, Metazoa, Chordata, Amphibia, Anura, Pelobatidae.
GCAGUGGUUAUGGUGCUGGUAGUCUACUCUAAAGCAUUGUUAACAGAAAUUGCAAUCUGGACGUACUUCAAAAAAAAGGCACAUUUCAAGAAAAAGGUGCAUUUUCCAAUUCCUUUUCCAUAGUAACACCACGAAGACACAAAAUUCAACUUGCUCCAUACCGCACAAAUAUACCUACUGAUUCAUCUUAUUUUAACUCCCUG